Molecule: ribosomal RNA, 497 nt
Filed under: uncultured bacterium
Lineage: Bacteria
Description: partial 16S ribosomal RNA
Rfam family: Bacterial small subunit ribosomal RNA
Source: RNAcentral
GAUGAACGCUGGCGGCGUGCCUAAUACAUGCAAGUCGAGCGAACAGACGAGGAGCUUGCUCCUCUGACGUUAGCGGCGGACGGGUGAGUAACACGUGGAUAACCUACCUAUAAGACUGGGAUAACUUCGGGAAACCGGAGCUAAUACCGGAUAAUAUAUUGAACCGCAUGGUUCAAUAGUGAAAGACGGUUUUGCUGUCACUUAUAGAUGGAUCCGCGCCGCAUUAGCUAGUUGGUAAGGUAACGGCUUACCAAGGCAACGAUGCGUAGCCGACCUGAGAGGGUGAUCGGCCACACUGGAACUGCAACACGGUCCAGACUCCUACGGGAGGCAGCAGUAGGGAAUCUUCCGCAAUGGGCGAAAGCCUGACGGAGCAACGCCGCGUGAGUGAUGAAGGUCUUCUGAUCGUAAAACUCUGUUAUUAGGGAAGAACAAAUGUGUAAGUAACUAUGCACGUCUUGACGGUACCUAAUCAGAAAGCCACGGCUAACUACGUG